This 460-nucleotide ribosomal RNA is filed under the name uncultured bacterium. RNAcentral's name for it is "partial 16S ribosomal RNA". It matches the Rfam family "Bacterial small subunit ribosomal RNA", at positions 339 to 795 of the family's 1533-position model. The record is from RNAcentral.
CUACGGGCCGCAGCAGUAAGGAAUAUUGGUCAAUGGACGCAAGUCUGAACCAGCCAUGCCGCGUGAAGGAUUAAGGUCCUCUGGAUUGUAAACUUCUUUUAUAUGGGACGAAAAAAGGUCUUUCUAGACCCCUUGACGGUACCAUAUGAAUAAGCACCGGCUAACUCCGUGUCCAGCAGCCGCGGUAAUACGGAGGGUGCAAGCGUUAUCCGGAUUCACUGGGUUUAAAGGGUGCGUAGGCGGGUAGGUAAGUCAGUGGUGAAAUCCUGGAGCUCAACUCCAGAACUGCCAUUGAUACUAUCUAUCUUGAAUAUUGUGGAGGUAAGCAGAAUAUGUCAUGUAGCGGUGAAAUGCUUAGAUAUGACAUAGAACACCCAUUGCGAAGGCAGCUUACUACGCAUAUAUUGACGCUGAGGCACGAAAGCGUGGGGAUCAAACAGGAUUAGAUACCCUGGUAGUC